AUUGAACGCUGGCGGCAUGCUUUACACAUGCAAGUCGAACGGUAACAGGCCUUCGGGUGCUGACGAGUGGCGAACGGGUGAGUAAUGCAUCGGAACGUGCCCAGAGGUGGGGGAUAACGCAGCGAAAGCUGUGCUAAUACCGCAUGUGAUCUGAGGAUGAAAGCGGGGGACCAAGCAGCAAUGUUUGGCCUCGCGCCUCUGGAGCGGCCGAUGUCAGAUUAGGUAGUUGGUGGGGUAAAGGCCCACCAAGCCGACGAUCCGUAGCUGGUCUGAGAGGACGACCAGCCACACUGGGACUGAGACACGGCCCAGACUCCUACGGGAGGCAGCAGUGGGGAAUGUUGGACAAUGGGCGCGAGCCUGAUCCAGCAAUGCCGCGUGCGGGAAGAAGGCCUUCGGGUUGUAAGCCGCUUUUGUACGGAACGAAAAGGCUCUGGCUAAUACCUGGGGCUGAUGACGGUACCGUAAGAAUAAGCACCGGCUAACUACGUG
Molecule: ribosomal RNA, 492 nt
Filed under: uncultured bacterium
Lineage: Bacteria
Description: partial 16S ribosomal RNA
Rfam family: Bacterial small subunit ribosomal RNA
Source: RNAcentral